UGAUACAAGCAAGCCUCAUUCAUAUGAUCUC
This 31-nucleotide non-coding RNA is filed under the name Mus musculus (house mouse). The record is from RNAcentral. Lineage: Eukaryota; Metazoa; Chordata; Mammalia; Rodentia; Muridae.